Molecule: ribosomal RNA, 317 nt
Filed under: uncultured eukaryote
Lineage: Eukaryota
Description: LSU rRNA
Rfam family: Bacterial large subunit ribosomal RNA
Source: RNAcentral
AGUUUUCUUGCGGGAAGAUUUGAGCCGUUGGUGAGAUACCACUCUAACAAUGCUAGGAUUCUAACCCUAUGUCGUUAUCCGGCUAGGGGACAGUUUCAGGUGGUCAGUUUGACUGGGGCGGUCGCCUCCUAAAAGGUAACGGAGGCGUGCAAAGGUUCCCUCAGGCUGGUUGGAAAUCAGUCGUAGAGUGUAAAGGCAUAAGGGAGCUUGAUUGCAAGACAUACAAGUCGAACAAAGACGAAAGUCGGCCUUAGUGAUCCGGCGGUACCGAGUGGAAGGGCCGUCGCUCAACGGAUAAAAGUUACUCUAGGGAUAAC